RNAcentral lists this transfer RNA (66 nucleotides) under marine eukaryotic metagenome. It matches the Rfam family "tRNA". Rfam says of the family: Transfer RNA (tRNA) molecules are approximately 80 nucleotides in length. The record is from RNAcentral.
AGCGUAGCUCAGUUGGUAGAGCUACUGAUUUGUAAUCAGUGGGUCGGGGGUUCGAGUCCCUUCGCU